This 495-nucleotide ribosomal RNA is filed under the name uncultured bacterium. RNAcentral describes it as "partial 16S ribosomal RNA". It matches the Rfam family "Bacterial small subunit ribosomal RNA", at positions 28 to 507 of the family's 1533-position model. The record is from RNAcentral.
GACGAACGCUGGCGGCGUGCCUAAUACAUGCAAGUAGAACGCUGAAGGAGGAGCUUGCUUCUCCGGAUGAGUUGCGAACGGGUGAGUAACGCGUAGGUAACCUGCCUGGUAGCGGGGGAUAACUAUUGGAAACGAUAGCUAAUACCGCAUAAGAGUAGAUGUCGCAUGACAUUUGCUUAAAAGGUGCAACUGCACCACUACCAGAUGGACCUGCGUUGUAUUAGCUAGUUGGUGAGGUAACGGCUCACCAAGGCAACGAUACAUAGCCGACCUGAGAGGGUGAUCGGCCACACUGGGACUGAGACACGGCCCAGACGCCUACGGGAGGCAGCAGUAGGGAAUCUUCGGCAAUGGACGGAAGUCUGACCGAGCAACGCCGCGUGAGUGAAGAAGGUUUUCGGAUCGUAAAGCUCUGUUGUAAGAGAAGAACGAGUGUGAGAGUGGAAAGUUCACACUGUGACGGUAUCUUACCAGAAAGGGACGGCUAACUACGUG